AAGCCCCUCGCCGGAGAAGACAGCCCAGCCGCUAGGGAGUCGACCGCCGUACCGGAGCAUUUUCUAGCCACCAAACGAGGUAAAAAUUCUACCCUUUACUUAGAAUUUGAUUCUAAACCCACCUAUGGCCAAAUCGGAGCGAAAGCACCAGCCAAUUGGUUGGAAAAUGCUGCCGAAGCUCAGCGGUGCCACCGCAGGGUGUCUCGAUUUUUACCUCCGAUGAAGCCCUUCUCGAUUCCCGUUCGAUGUGAUUUUUCCACUGUUGUAAUCACUGUUUCUUCCUCUACAGGUUGAUCGGAGCAAAGCACCCAACCGCGAUGUGAGCC
This 326-nucleotide long non-coding RNA is filed under the name Carica papaya (papaya). RNAcentral's name for it is "long non-coding RNA (CPAP_LNC002111)". Lineage: Eukaryota; Viridiplantae; Streptophyta; Magnoliopsida; Brassicales; Caricaceae. The record is from RNAcentral.